This 520-nucleotide long non-coding RNA is filed under the name Fukomys damarensis (Damara mole-rat). RNAcentral's name for it is "lncRNA (ENSFDAG00000029644.1)". The record is from RNAcentral. Lineage: Eukaryota; Metazoa; Chordata; Mammalia; Rodentia; Bathyergidae.
UAUGAAAAAAGCCAAUGGGAUUGCUUUGUUUGCCACACAGUGGGAAGUCCAGGAACUCGCAAGUGUGCAAGUUGGGCAGUCAUAGAAAGCCCUGAGCUCCAGGAGACCAGACCGCAUCCCAGCUGGAAGGUGCUUCAGAGCAAAGGAGGGACGUGGUGUUGACACCACUGCAGGCACCUCAGCCUGGAGCAUUUGCCCUGUGGUUUGGAGAGGAGGAGUGUGCCUGGGUGUUCUGAUUGGUUCACAGAAGCAUCAAGCUCACUCCCACCCAGUCUUGGAUUUUGCUGUCAUCCCCCUUCGUAACACCAAUGCCACCUACCAGAACGCCCUGUCUUCCCGACCUCCGGAUCACCUGGGUUUGCAGACUGCUUUCCGUGCAGACUUCACGUGGUACUGUCCCUCCUCCGAACCCCAAACACAUAUUCUCUAUGCCACAGCAUGCAGCGUGAUAUUAAAGGACACAUCGUGCCCAUGAGUCUGACAUCUGGAGCAUUAUUCUGCUGUGUAAACAACCCACCCU